Molecule: small nucleolar RNA, 106 nt
Filed under: Sus scrofa (pig)
Lineage: Eukaryota; Metazoa; Chordata; Mammalia; Artiodactyla; Suidae
Description: Small nucleolar RNA SNORA17 (ENSSSCG00000046990.1)
Source: Rfam by way of RNAcentral
CUUGCCACCACUGGGGCCUGUGAGUGGCCCAUCUGUGACCCAGUCACCUCAGGAGUUGGCAAAAAGAAGAGGGAUACCUGAGCAAAAAUUACUCCAGUCCCACCAC